This 233-nucleotide ribosomal RNA is filed under the name uncultured Lactobacillus sp. RNAcentral describes it as "partial 16S ribosomal RNA". It matches the Rfam family "Bacterial small subunit ribosomal RNA", at positions 129 to 354 of the family's 1533-position model. The record is from RNAcentral. Lineage: Bacteria; Bacillati; Bacillota; Bacilli; Lactobacillales; Lactobacillaceae.
CCCAAGAGAUCGGGAUAACACCUGGAAACAGAUGCUAAUACCGGAUAACAACAGAUGAUGCCUAUCAACUGUUUAAAAGAUGGUUCUGCUAUCACUCUCGGAUGGACCUGCGGUGCAUUAGCUAGUUGGUAGGGUAACGGCCUACCAAGGCGAUGAUGCAUAGCCGAGUUGAGAGACUGAUCGGCCACAUUGGGACUGAGACACGGCCCAAACUCCUACGGGAGGCAGCAGAU